AUUGAACGCUGGCGGCAGGCCUAACACAUGCAAGUCGAACGAGUGGCGGACGGGUGAGUAAUGUCUGGGAAACUGCCUGAUGGAGGGGGAUAACUACUGGAAACGGUAGCUAAUACCGCAUACCAUCGGAUGUGCACAGAUGGGAUUAGCUAGUAGGUGGGGUAACGGCUCACCUAGGCGACGAUCCCUAGCUGGUCUGAGAGGAUGCCCAGCCACACUGGAACUGAGACACGGUCCAGACUCCGACGGGAGGCAGCAGUGGGGAAUAUUGCACAAUGGGCGAAAGCCUGAUUCAGCCAUGCCGCGUGUAUGAAGAAGGCCUUAGGAUUGUAAAGUACUUUCAGCGGGGAGGCGUUACCCACAGAAGAAGCACCGGCUAACUCCGUGCCAGCCGCCGCGGUAAUUC
Molecule: ribosomal RNA, 406 nt
Filed under: uncultured bacterium
Lineage: Bacteria
Description: partial 16S ribosomal RNA
Rfam family: Bacterial small subunit ribosomal RNA
Source: RNAcentral